This 423-nucleotide ribosomal RNA is filed under the name uncultured bacterium. Its description in RNAcentral is "bacterial SSU rRNA". It matches the Rfam family "Bacterial small subunit ribosomal RNA", at positions 207 to 622 of the family's 1533-position model. The record is from RNAcentral.
AAGACCUUGCGCUUUUGGAGCGGCCGAUGUCUGAUUAGCUAGUUGGUGGGGUAAUGGCCUACCAAAGCUUCGAUCAGUAGCUGGUCUGAGAGGACGGCCAGCCACACUGGGACUGAGACACGGCCCAGACUCCUACGGGAGGCAGCAGUGGGGAAUUUUGGACAAUGGGCGCAAGCCUGAUCCAGCCUUGCCGCGUGAGUGAAGAAGGCCUUCGGGUUGUAAAGCUCUUUCAGCCGGGAAGAAAAGGUUGCGACUAAUAAUCGCAAUCCAUGACGGUACCGAAAGAAGAAGCACCGGCUAACUACGUGCCAGCAGCCGCGGUAAUACGUAGGGUGCGAGCGUUAAUCGGAAUUACUGGGCGUAAAGCGUGCGCAGGUGGUUUUGUAAGUCAGAUGUGAAAGCCCCGGGCUCAACCUGGGAACU